UUGAUCUAGAGACUUGUUACUU
Molecule: small nuclear RNA, 22 nt
Filed under: Arabidopsis thaliana (thale cress)
Lineage: Eukaryota; Viridiplantae; Streptophyta; Magnoliopsida; Brassicales; Brassicaceae
Description: snRNA_03773
Source: RNAcentral